Molecule: ribosomal RNA, 515 nt
Filed under: uncultured bacterium
Lineage: Bacteria
Description: bacterial SSU rRNA
Rfam family: Bacterial small subunit ribosomal RNA
Source: RNAcentral
AGAGUUGAUCAUGGCUCAGGAUGAACGCUAGCGACAGGCUAACACAUGCAAGUCGAGGGGCAGCAUAAAAGUAGCAAUACUUGGUGGCGACCGGCGCACGGGUGAGUAACGCGUAUGCAACCUACCUAUCAGAGGGGAAUAACCCGGCGAAAGUCGGACUAAUACCGCAUAAAACAGGGGCACCGCAUGGUGAUAUUUGUUAAAGAAAUUCGCUGAUAGAUGGGCAUGCGUUCCAUUAGGUAGUUGGUGAGGUAACGGCUCACCAAGCCGACGAUGGAUAGGGGAACUGAGAGGUUGGUCCCCCACACUGGUACUGAGACACGGACCAGACUCCUACGGGAGGCAGCAGUGAGGAAUAUUGGUCAAUGGGCGGGAGCCUGAACCAGCCAAGUCGCGUGAAGGAAGAAGGAUCUAUGGUUCGUAAACUUCUUUUGCAGGGGAAUAAAGUGCAGGACGUGUCCUGUUUUGUAUGUACCCUGAGAAUAAGGAUCGGCUAACUCCGUGCCAGCCGCCGC